Molecule: non-coding RNA, 828 nt
Organism: Doryrhamphus excisus (bluestripe pipefish)
Lineage: Eukaryota; Metazoa; Chordata; Actinopteri; Syngnathiformes; Syngnathidae
Source: RefSeq, a predicted model, not a curated record
UAAAAGGGGUCCCUGUAGCAGACGACAUUUACCUAUUUCACUUUUAAAUUACCAGUACAGCUCAUGUUUUUAUCUGUUAUCCAAAUACUUUUAAACACUUGAUAUUUAAAAGUCAGUGUGAUUAAAAACACACAAAAGCGUGUUGAUGUCAUUAGAGUCGCGUUAGCACUAACGUGACAUCCCGGACCGGCUGAGACUUUGAAGGGGAUUUCAGACCAAAGAACGUACGCUACUGCUACAGAGUUUAGUGCUGGGAUAGUGGAAGUAAACAUGACUACGAAACAAGAGGGCUACCUAUCUGAACAGGAAUAUACUGCUGCCAAAGGUGUUCAGAUGGAGAAGUGCGAGAAAGGAGGGGAAGCUGGUCUAAACUGAAGCUGGACCCAUUUCAGUAACUUAGCUGGAGGUGUUUCCCUGGGGAUUCCGAAAGGACAUCAUGCGGGCCCAGCAGCUCCGCUUUAGUGUGGCUUCAUCACCUCAUCCAUCUGACAUGGAAAAGGCCGCAGAUGGAGCGUUAUAAUAAGUGUGGAAAUCAGACAAAGCUGCUGUUGUGCAUAAUGCUGUUUCUACAUUCGCUUUAACUUUGGUGUAAAAAGCUGUGUUGAAAGUAGCCAUCCGUCAUUUCAAACUGGAGUGAAAAUGAACGCAAUCAUUUACACAUGUUGAAGCCACACUUUGCUCACGUCCGGCUCAUUUGCCAGCAUCUUUGCUACGUCCGUGCUAGCUAAAACAGCAACAGUGGCAGUUGGAGUUGAUUACAGUCAACUCCUAUCAAAACCUUUGUCGAUUAAUCGAGUAAUUGGAAAAAAAUAACAUAUUUUUACUUGU